This 253-nucleotide ribosomal RNA is filed under the name uncultured bacterium. RNAcentral's name for it is "partial 16S ribosomal RNA". It matches the Rfam family "Bacterial small subunit ribosomal RNA", at positions 524 to 776 of the family's 1533-position model. The record is from RNAcentral.
UACAGAGGUGGCAAGCGUUGUUCGGAAUUACUGGGCGUAAAGCGUGCGCAGGCGGUUUUGUAAGCCAGGUGUGAAAGCCCCGGGCUCAACCUGGGAAUGGCAUUUGGGACUGCAAGGCUGGAGUGUGGCAGAGGAGACUGGAAUUCCUGGUGUAGCAGUGAAAUGCGUAGAUAUCAGGAGGAAUACCGAUGGCGAAGGCAGGUCUCUGGGCUAACACUGACGCUCAUGCACGAAAGCGUGGGGAGCAAACAGG